GAUCAAUCCGUGCGAGGAGGCGCGGUAAUACGGAGGAUCCAAGCGUUAUCCGGAAUCAGUGGGUUUAAAGGGUCCGUAGGCGGCCUUAUAAGUCAGUGGGGAAAUCUCACGGCUCAACCGUGAAAUGGCCAUUGAUACUGUAGGGCGUGAAUUAUUGGGAAGUAACUAGAAUAUGUAGUGUAGCGGUGAAAUGCUUAGAUAUUACAUGGAAUACCGAUUGCGAAGGCAGGUUACUACCAAUGGAUUGACGCUGAUGGACGAAAGCGUGGGUAGCGAACAGGAUUAGAUACCCUAGUAGUC
RNAcentral lists this ribosomal RNA (300 nucleotides) under uncultured Halorussus sp. RNAcentral describes it as "bacterial SSU rRNA". It matches the Rfam family "Bacterial small subunit ribosomal RNA", at positions 496 to 795 of the family's 1533-position model. Lineage: Archaea; Methanobacteriati; Methanobacteriota; Halobacteria; Halobacteriales; Haladaptataceae. The record is from RNAcentral.